This 69-nucleotide transfer RNA is filed under the name Mimosestes insularis. RNAcentral's name for it is "tRNA-Val". The record is from RNAcentral. Lineage: Eukaryota; Metazoa; Arthropoda; Insecta; Coleoptera; Chrysomelidae.
UCAAGCCAAAUUGAAUUUCACAAUUAACUUUUUAAUGUAAAUAAAAUACUUUUACCAAGCUCUAACUUG